CUUCCUACGGGGGGCAGCAGUGAGGAAUAUUGGACAAUGGAUGGAAAUCUGAUCCAGCCAUGCCGCGUGCAGGAAGACGGCCCUAUGGGUUGUAAACUGCUUUUGUAUGGGAGCAAUAAGGUCUAUGCGUAGACUGAUGAGAGUACCAUACGAAUAAGCAUCGGCUAACUCCGUGCCAGCAGCCGCGGUAAUACGGGGGAUGCAAGCGUUAUCCGGAUUUAUUGGGUUUAAAGGGUGCGUAGGCGGUUUGAUAAGUCAGCGGUGAAAUAUUUCAGCUUAACUGAAAGGGUGCCGUUGAUACUGUCAGGCUUGAAUAUGGUUGCUGUGGGUGGAAUGUGUGGUGUAGCGGUGAAAUGCUUAGAUAUCACACAGAAUAUCGAUUGCGAAGGCAGCUCACAAAGCCAUUAUUGACGCUGAUGCACGAAAGUGUGGGGAUCAAACAGGAUUAGAUACCCUGGUAGUCCACACUGUAAACGAUGAUAACUCGCUGUCGGCGAUACACAGUCGGUAGCCAAGCGAAAGCGAUAAGUUAUCCACCUGGGGAGUACGACCGCAAGGUUGAAACUCAAAGGAAUUGACGGGGGCCCGCACAGGCGGAGGAACAUGUGGUUUAAUUCGAUGAUACGCGAG
RNAcentral lists this ribosomal RNA (630 nucleotides) under uncultured bacterium. RNAcentral describes it as "bacterial SSU rRNA". It matches the Rfam family "Bacterial small subunit ribosomal RNA", at positions 335 to 965 of the family's 1533-position model. The record is from RNAcentral.